GCGCGGCGGAAGAGGCGCGGCGCGGGCGCCAUGGCGGCGGCAGCGCGGCCGCUGGCGCUGCUCACCAGCUGUGCCGCGGGCUUCGCGCCCGAGGAGCUCGUCAAACGUAUCACAGGAAAAGAUGACCUUACUGUGGGUGCCAUAACAAGCGGCAGAGUGAAUUUCUACCCCUGGACCAUAGAUAACAAAUACUACUCUGCAGAUAUCCACCUCUGCGUGGUCCCAAACACAUUCCACGUGACUGGAGAGAUCGCGGAGGCUGUGCAGGCGUUUGUUGUGUACUUUGACAGCACCACAAAAGCUGGACUGGAGGGUGUCUCUGAAUGGCUUCCCCUGACAGAAGAGUGGCUGCCAGAAGUGAUGAUCCUGGUUUGUGACAGAGUGUCUGAGAACGGUGUAAACAGACAGAAGGCUCAAGAGUGGUGCAUCAAGCAUGGCUUUGAGUUGGUAGAGCUCAGCCCUGAGGAGCUGCCUGAUGAAGAUGAUGAUUUCCCCGAGUCCACGGGAGUGAAGCGCAUCGUGCAGGCCCUCAACGCCAACGUCUGGUCCAACGUGGUCAUGAAGGCUGACAGGACCCAGGGCUUUGGUCUCCUCAGCACCUUGGCAGGAGCAAACAGGAGCCGUGGCUGUGAAGAGACCCCGGAGACAGAAUCCAACCCAUCCCCAGGAGAGAGGGAAGAAUCCCAGUCAGAUGGUGGAGAGCAUGGAGCUGGCACACACAGCCUGGAGCCUGACAGUGCUGCAGCUGUGUUUCAGAUCCCAUGCUGGAUAUGGACAUCCAGGAGCUGGCCAGGCUGACCACGAGGGAUGGGGACCUGGAGAACUUCGAAAGGCUCUUCUCAAAGCUGAAAGAAAUGAAAGACAAAGCUGCCACGCUGCCUCACGAGCAGAGGAAGCUGCACGCAGAGAAGGUGGCCAAAGCCUUCUGGAUGGCAAUUGGAGGAGACAGGGAUGAGAUUGAAGGUCUCUCCUCGGAUGAAGAAAACUGAAUUCCUCUGUAGCUGGAAGUGCCAGAGCAAUCCUGAGGGAAUGAUCCUUCCCUGCAUUAGUGUUCAUUGCCAAAAACACCAUUUAGCUGUAGCUGCUUCCCUUGGUGACAGCAUUCCCCUGUUCCACAUUCCACAACAUCUCCAGGCUCCAGAGGCUUUGCUGACUGUCCUGUCUCCUCUCCCAGAGGACUUUGGGAGGUGACACGUGUGUGGCUCAAGGAAACAGUGAUGAGUUUACAUUUUACAAAUGAACAUUUUAUGAUUUCCUCUCUGGGGUUUAAAUAAACAAAUGUGCUCCCAGUUAUCUCUGCACACAGGGCUGGGGCUUGGGAA
Molecule: RNA transcript, 1322 nt
Organism: Serinus canaria (Common canary)
Lineage: Eukaryota; Metazoa; Chordata; Aves; Passeriformes; Fringillidae
Gene: AAGAB
Gene name: alpha and gamma adaptin binding protein
Exons: 10
Source: RefSeq, a predicted model, not a curated record